GCCCGAGGGGGGAGGGGAAGGGAGAGAUGGGUCCCCCCACUGACCAAAUGAUUGGCCCUUGAUUCUUUCAGCAAACAGUUACUGAACUACCACUGAGCACAGGGUUCCAUACAGGAAACUGAGGUAAAUAAGACAUGGUCUCUUUAUGUUUAAGGAAUUCACAGUCUAGGGAAACCCACGGCCUACUAGAGAGAUGUCAGUCACAUACAUGAAUGUCUCUCUCCUUGUCCUAUUCACCUUUCUCUCUCCUCUCUACCUCUCCUCCCUUUCCCGUCUCUUUCUUUUUCUCUGUCUCUCUCUCUCUCUCUUCUCCCUUUUUCCUCUUCUUCUCCUUGUGUUUUUCUCUCUCUGGCUGUGUGUGUGUGUGUGUCUGUCUGUCUGUCUGUUUCUCUCAUCAUUUUCCUCUCUGCCUCUCCUAACAAAAUUUGCCUGGGUGAUCUUUGCCGUGUCCAUUUCCUUCUUUAGUCCUGGUUUCCUCAAUUGAAUGGAAAUGGCUGGAGUGAGACUGGAGGUUUAGAAGUGCUGAGAAAUCCUUCUCCUGUUGUUUCUCUCUCUCUCUGGCUGUGUGUCUGUCUAUCUGUCUCUGUCUCUGUCUCUGUUUCUCUCAUCAUUUUUCCCUCUCUUCCUUAUCUAACAAAAUUCGCUUGGGUGGUCUUUGCCGGGUCCAUUUCCUUCUUUAGUCCUGUUUUUCUUAAAUGAAUGGAAAUGGUUGGAGUGAGACUGAAGGUUUAGAAGUGCUGAGAAAUUCUUCUCCCUGUAGUUUUUCUCUCUCUCUAGCUGUGUGUGUGUGUGUGUGUCUGUCUAUCUCUCUGUCUCUGUCUCUCUCAUCAUUUUUCUCUCUCUGCACCUUCUAACAAAAUUCGCCUGGGUGGUCUUUGCCGUGUUCGUUUCCUUCUUUAGUCCUUGGUUUUUUCAACUGAAUGGAAAGGGUCGGAGCGAGACUGGAGGUUUAGAAGUACUGAGAAAUUAAGGCAUCCUCAUUGGACAGAUGAGGAAACAAGUCUAAAGAGAUUAAGUCCAAGAUCACAGAGCUAGGAAGUGAGAUGGAGUAGGGAAACGACCUAGGAUUUGAACCAAAGUCCCGACUCCCAAGCCCUCCCAUGAUUCUGUGCCUGUGUAUGGUAUAUGCGACGCCUUGAGAAGUUCCAGGUGGAGAGCUGCUGCUGUUGGAGGUGCUCCAGGAGGAUUUCCCGGAAUGGGAGGUAAGGCGUCCUGUCUAGCCACGGAGCCCAUCGGCCCAUCAGCUCAGCCCAAGCCACUUUCAGGCAGCCUAGGACCAGUACCGGGUCCUGAAUAAAACAUGGGUUCAGUUUAGCCUAACAGCAAUUCGAGGUUCCUGAACCCCAAGACUCCCCAGCUGCCUUCUCCUCCCAAGCAGCCCCAGGCCCCAUCUCCUCAGUCUUCAAAGAGAAUGUCAGGCUCAAAGGCUGCCCCUUGGGGACUAAAAAUUCCCAGAGGAGCCGAGGACCCAGCGCAGGUGUGAAGGACGAGCCGAGCGGGAGAGGGAGGGAGAGAAGUUGAGAAGAGACAUUGGCCGUUUGAGGAAACUGACCGAUGUAUAAUUUAUUGGCUGCUGUGCACGCCUCGGGGUUCUGAGAUUUGGGGCGGGGUCCUCCGAGCUGGGGUUUGUCCCAGCAGGCUCUGAAGGAUUCUAGACUCGAGGUGAGCCCCUGCUGUCAGAACAGGCGGCUGCUCCUAGCUGGGCUGGGGAGGGUGGUGGGAAGGCUUAGGCCAGCCAAGCGGCCAUCCCCGCGGCCAGCAGGGCCGGGAGGAGAGCGCCUCCCCCAGGGCCAGCGGCUGCG
Long non-coding RNA from Antechinus flavipes (yellow-footed antechinus), 1802 nucleotides. RefSeq lists it as uncharacterized. The transcript is spliced from 2 exons. The record is from RefSeq and is a predicted model, not a curated record. NCBI's taxonomy places the organism in Eukaryota, Metazoa, Chordata, Mammalia, Dasyuromorphia, Dasyuridae.